This 303-nucleotide ribosomal RNA is filed under the name uncultured bacterium. Its description in RNAcentral is "partial 16S ribosomal RNA". It matches the Rfam family "Bacterial small subunit ribosomal RNA", at positions 507 to 808 of the family's 1533-position model. The record is from RNAcentral.
AGCAGUAGCCGCGGUAAUACGUAGGCGGCAAGCGUUGUCCGGAAUUAUUGGGCGUAAAGGGAGCGCAGGUGGGACGGUAAGUCCGUCUUAAAAGGCAGGGGCUCAGCCCCUGUAAGGGAUGGAAACUAUCGAUCUUGAGUGCCGGAGAGGAAAGCGGAAUUCCCAGUGUAGCGGUGAAAUGCGUAGAUAUUGGGAAGAACACCAGUGGCGAAGGCGGCUUUCUGGACGGCAACUGACACUGAGGCUCGAAAGCCAGGGGAGCGAACGGGAUUAGAUACCCGCGUAGUCCCUGUUUCUUAUACA